UUAGGCUCGGGUUUACCGUGAGCCUGCUUGGAACAAGCAGUUGUAGACGUGUGUGUGGGGGUUCUGUGUAGCAGGAAGUUGCUCACUAGCCAAUUUUGGGGGGUGGGACUGUGCUUCUGAGCCCCUCUGUACCCCAGGGGACCCCUUUGAAUUCUGUCUAAAUCUACUGUCUGUCAGGUAUGUGUGUGUAAAUGAAGCUAGAAUUGCCCUCUGUGGGGGUGUUGAGAGCAGGCCCCUUAUGCCCCCCACCCCUCCAGUGCUGUUCUGUCCAGAGUGGUGAAACAAGCUCCAAAUGGCACCGGAAAUCUCCAGCACUGCACCCGCACUACAGAACUGAGCCUUCCAACCACUGUCCCUGGUGUCUCCCAGCACUCCCAGCCCUUCUGGUGUCUGGACAGCUGUGCUCUGAAGUGACAGGAGGUAGAAUUUCACUGACCUCUUCCCCCCCACUCCCCUGUAUGCCAGCAGUCCAACAUCCUGUCCCAGAAUUUGUCCAGGUUCUUCCCUUUCUAUCUUCCCACCUUUGAGUCCUUAACAAGGGUGUGUGACUGAAUGAGCAGUGAUUGUAUGGCCAGUGUUACUGAGCAAACUGUGUGUAAUGUUUCCCGACACCCUGAAGGGUCACAGGAAGGUGGUGACCUGACCGGCGGUUCUUUUCUGCAGUGGUCACUGCCCCUCAGGAAGAGGGCUGGGUUGGGUUGUGAGCUGUCCUUAGGGAGGUGAAUCACUGGCCCGUGUUUAAUGCUGUUUCUAUGUGUCAAAUUAAGCAACUGCGCUUUUGUUUGUGGCUGCUUACUGGGGAAAGACCCCUCAGCUGCCGCCCUCUUGCUGGUGGUCCCAGCCCCUCCCACCUGCCUCUGAUUGGAUCAUGGCCUGUUUCUAAUUACGGUUACUGCUUCAUAGCCUCUCGUACGUCUCCCAAUGGAAGGACACCCUCAGAACCACAGGCAGGAAAAGUGUUCAACUGAGAGACAUAUGUGUGGAGACAGCAAGGGUUUGGGUCUCAACACACACCUCUCCCAUACUGCUGAGUGCUCAAGACACUGCAGAGGUGGGAGACAGAGCAAGCUGGACUGAUGUAGUACCCUUUAGUACACUACUGCGCCCCCUCAAAAAAAAGAAAAAAAAAAAAAUAAAACCCACCUAUGGUGGGGAAUGUAGGUCCAUGCUGUCUUUCUCUCUGGCCUCACUGUUGAUGGAUGUUGCUGUCUGCUUCAUUCAGUCUUUUCAAUCCCAGCUCUCUCAAUUUGUUGCACUGGCCAGAAGGAAGAUGGAUGGAUGUGCAGGAGGCCACACCCACUCAUGUGAAGAACAUGUCAAGUCUGGUACAAAUGUCUUACAUAUGACCAGGUGUUUAGUUUCCAGCGGCCUGUAUGUUCAUGUCUUGUGCCAAACUCAUUCCGUAGUAUGACAGUUUACAUUUUAAUAGUUUUACUCUCACUGACCUCUGCCCACAGCAGAGUGGGAAGUAGUUUUUUUUGGCAUUAUUUUAAAAGCUGUAUUAGAUUUUAUUUUAAAAAUCUUGUCAUUUUGUAAACUGGGCUCUCUGCUUUUAAUUUGUGUCUAAAGUGUUCCUGCGGCAUCUGCAGAAUCUCCUGUAUCUCAAGAUGACAUUUAGAACUGUACUGCAGAUCCUAGUGAGCUGCUAAAGAAUGACAAUGGUCUUGUACAUACCCAUGCCCACCCAUGGGUGGGUGCCUCCACAAGCCAGCAGCACGACCCCUGCUCUCAACCUCCUGUGGAGUAGCGGCCAGAGCACUUUAGAUCUGAACCUUAUGUCCCUCCCCCAUCCUGCAUGUGGACCUCCCUGCUCUGCAUGUAGAUCUCGGCACCUGCAACUUGUACUGUACAGCAACUAAAUAGUCAAAUAAAAGACAGACAUUGUUUAAGUCAC
Long non-coding RNA from Scleropages formosus (Asian bonytongue), 1894 nucleotides. RefSeq lists it as uncharacterized. Lineage: Eukaryota; Metazoa; Chordata; Actinopteri; Osteoglossiformes; Osteoglossidae. The record is from RefSeq and is a predicted model, not a curated record. The transcript is spliced from 2 exons.